UGGAUUAGAUACCCCACUAUGCCUAGCCCUAAACUUUGAUAUUCUCCGCCUGGGGACUACGAGCGUUAGCUUAAAACCCAAAAGACUUGGCGGUGCCCUAUACCACCUAGAGGAGCCUGUUCUAUAAUCGAUAAUCCCCGAUCAACCUCACCAUCCCUUGCCAAUACCGCCUGUAUACCUCCGUCGUCAACUGACCCCUUAAGGGAAAUAGUUGGUUUAAUGGCUUAUCACCAGAAAGUCAGGUCAAGGUGCAGCGUAUGAGAUGGGAAGAAAUGGGCUACAUUUUCUACCUUUAGACCACACGAAAGAUCAUUAUGAAAUCUGAUUGGAAGGCGGAUUUAGCAGUAAAAAGAGAUUAGAGCGCUCUUUUUAAGUUGGCCCUAGGGCGCGCACACACCGCCCGUCA
Molecule: ribosomal RNA, 406 nt
Filed under: Megophrys maosonensis
Lineage: Eukaryota; Metazoa; Chordata; Amphibia; Anura; Megophryidae
Description: Xenophrys maosonensis partial 12S ribosomal RNA
Rfam family: Bacterial small subunit ribosomal RNA
Source: RNAcentral